RNAcentral lists this ribosomal RNA (1239 nucleotides) under Triticum aestivum (bread wheat). Its description in RNAcentral is "partial small subunit ribosomal RNA". Lineage: Eukaryota; Viridiplantae; Streptophyta; Magnoliopsida; Poales; Poaceae. The record is from RNAcentral.
AUGAGGCGCUUUCUCACCCAUCUCCACCACCACUCCCACCGCCUCCGCCCAUCCCCACCACUCUCUCGUAUCCCCACAACCAAGAACAACCUCCCUUUCCUUGUCUCCCGUCGCCUCCUCUCCGACGACGCCUCUCCUCCGGCCGCCGCGCCGUCGCCUCCCCCUCCUCCUCCUCCGGCCGCCGCGCCACCGCCUCCCCCUCCGCCGUCAGCCAUCGACGUCCCAAACGAAGAAUUGAAGCGGAGGUUGGAAGCUUACUAUAAGGUGGAGGAUGAGUCGGAGCUAUCGUCUGUGGCUGUGGCUGUUCUCGAGCGGAAUCUUGCAGAUGCACACAGUGAGACCGAUGAUGAACUUAUCGAGGAGCUGCGCGACAGGCCACUUCCUCAGGUCCAUGAUCGGGACUUUGAGGCUGACUUUGACGAGAUGUAUGAGACUGAUGAGGAGCUUACUGACCUGUACAACGCGAGGCAGUAUGUUGAGAAAAAGAUGAAGGACGAUAAGUCAUCUAAUAACAUGAAUGAAACCAAGUGGGAUGAGGAGAUCAAGAAAGCAGCAGAGAAGGGCCAGCUGAGUAACAUGAAGGAGUGUGAGGAUAUCCUCGAGGACAUGCUCCACUGGGACAAGUUACUACCUGAUGAGAUAAAGCAAAAGGUGGAGGCCAAAUUUAACGAGUUGGGGGACAUGUGUGAGAGGGGGGAGCUUGAACCUGAGCAGGCUUAUGAGCUAUUUAAAGAUUUUGAGGAUAAGAUGGUCUCGGAGUGCACAGAACUGAUGGAAGCAGAGCCGCUGACUGUAGAUGAACUUUCUGAGGCAGAUAAUAAGAGCGCCGAGUUGAAUGAUCCACCUGGUGAGGGACCUGUUCUAAGGUGGGAGUCACGCAUUGUCUUUGCUCCUGGUGGUGAUGCAUGGCAUCCCAAAAAUAGGAAAGUUAAACUCAGUGUAACCGUCAAGGAACUGGGACUUUCACGGCAUGCUUUCCGUCGAUUACGUGAGGUUGUUGGAAAGAGGUAUAAUUCAGGAAAAGAUGAGCUCACAAUAAUCAGUGAAAGGUUUGAUCAUCGAGAAGAGAACAGAAAAGAUUGCUUGAGAACACUGUAUGCUCUAGUGGAAGAUGCGAUGAAAGCCGACGUGUUGGCCAAUGCUGCUAGAGAUGCUUAUGUUAAGGGGAGGCUCCAGGCUAACUCUCAGUUCAUGGACCGGCUGAAGAUGAAGACUCAAAAAUUAAGGCAAGCUGCAUAA